This 524-nucleotide ribosomal RNA is filed under the name uncultured bacterium. RNAcentral describes it as "partial 16S ribosomal RNA". It matches the Rfam family "Bacterial small subunit ribosomal RNA", at positions 28 to 523 of the family's 1533-position model. The record is from RNAcentral.
GACGAACGCUGGCGGCGUGCCUAAUACAUGCAAGUCGAGCGCAGGAAACUGACGGAACUCUUCGGAGGGAAGGCAGUGGAAUGAGCGGCGGACGGGUGAGUAACACGUAAGGAACCUGCCUCAAGGAUUGGGAUAACUCCGAGAAAUCGGAGCUAAUACCGGAUAGUUCAACGGACCGCAUGGUCCGCUGAUGAAAGGCGCUUCGGCGUCACCUUGAGAUGGUCUUGCGGUGCAUUAGCUAGUUGGUGGGGUAACGGCCCACCAAGGCGACGAUGCAUAGCCGACCUGAGAGGGUGAUCGGCCACACUGGGACUGAGACACGGCCCAGACUCCUACGGGAGGCAGCAGUAGGGAAUCUUCCACAAUGGACGAAAGUCUGAUGGAGCAACGCCGCGUGAGUGAUGAAGGUUUUCGGAUCGUAAAACUCUGUUGUAAGGGAAGAACACGUACGAGAGGGAAUGCUCGUACCUUGACGGUACCUUACGGGAAAGCCACGGCUAACUACGUGCCAGCCGCCGCGGUAA